Molecule: long non-coding RNA, 1007 nt
Filed under: Ictidomys tridecemlineatus (thirteen-lined ground squirrel)
Lineage: Eukaryota; Metazoa; Chordata; Mammalia; Rodentia; Sciuridae
Description: lncRNA (ENSSTOG00000034664.1)
Source: RNAcentral
UCAGUUUCCACCCCUGACCGUCCGAAAUGUAAAAGGAGGAGGCGUACCCGCAGUCCCGGCCACGAAGCCACCCUGGGGACCAGGAAGCAGGAAGUGACCCGCCACUUCGAUGGGAUUCCGGGAUCCCCCCAGCCACCAGGGGGCCGGGGCCGAGUGUCUCGACCCAAAUCCCUUCUCCCACCCUCGCAGAGUCUGACACAAAGUGAAAAGGCGGAAUCGAACCCCAGAGCUCAGUUCUAGCCGGCCUGGAGGAUCCCUAGACACCGAAACUGGACUAGGAGGCCGCCUCAGGAUGGAGCCAACGUACCUAUGGGGCCAGGCCCGACCUCUACUUUGGAGACUAAGGAACCCACGAGAGACCCAGCCCGGAGGCGAGUCUAGGAGGGACACAGGGAGAAGGCGCCCCAGAGCACUCACCACCUCCGCCGCGGUCCCCCGCCUCUUCCUGUCCCGGCUGGGCUCCCUCUCCGAGUUUUCCUUCGGUCCCACUUCCGGCGCUCAGCGCUGUCUCAUUGUGCGCGAUUGGGAGCCGGCUGUGCCCCCGCCCCGGCGCUCCGCCGCGCACGCCGGAAACGCGCGCAGCGCCUGGAGGGCCGCCCUCCGCCCCGCCCGCCGUCGCCCAGCUGCCGGGCCGCCCACCGUCGCCACGGCGCUCUGCCCCCGGGUAUGGGUUGUCAAGGCCAGCCCGGUUACGCCCCUCGGCGCCCGCGGGUUGUUCGCCCUCUACCCCGGCGCGCGGGCAGGGCCUUCUCCGUCUCUCUUCAUUGCCUCAUUGAUGAUAUCUAAUGGUGAGUCCAUCUCCUGUGCUUUGUUCCUGAUGACAGGGACCCACCUUUCACUUUAAUCACAGGUGAUUUUCAGUAUGGGUGGUCGACUACUUUGCCCCAAUUGUGGCUGUCUCCUGGCUACUUUGCCAUAUGUUUUUCCUUGGCACCACAAAGAACCCAGGAAUGCCUGGAUUCCUUCCAAGGACACAUGAAUCUCAAGUGUGCUUUAAAUUUGCCAGU